RNAcentral lists this ribosomal RNA (253 nucleotides) under uncultured bacterium. RNAcentral describes it as "partial 16S ribosomal RNA". It matches the Rfam family "Bacterial small subunit ribosomal RNA", at positions 524 to 776 of the family's 1533-position model. The record is from RNAcentral.
UACGAAGGUCCCGAGCGUUGUUCGGAAUCACUAGGCGUAAAGGGAGCGUAGGCGGCGUGGUAAGUCAGAUGUGAAAUCCCGGGGCUCAACCCCGGAACUGCAUCCGAUACUGCCGUGCUUGAGGGUUGGAGAGGUAGCUGGAAUUAUCGGUGUAGCAGUGAAAUGCGUGGAUAUCGAUAGGAACACUCGUGGCGAAGGCGAGCUACUGGACAACAUCUGACGCUGAGGCUCGAAGGCCAGGGGAGCAAAAGGG